This 245-nucleotide ribosomal RNA is filed under the name uncultured bacterium. Its description in RNAcentral is "partial 16S ribosomal RNA". It matches the Rfam family "Bacterial small subunit ribosomal RNA", at positions 524 to 769 of the family's 1533-position model. The record is from RNAcentral.
AACGUAGGGGGCAAGCGUUGUCCGGAAUCAUUGGGCGUAAAGCGCAUGUAGGUGGCCUUGUAAGUCAGAUGUAAAAGGUAUGGGCUCAACCUAUACAUGCAUCUGAUACUGUGAGGCUAGAGAACGGUAGAGGGAAACGGAACUUCCGGUGUAGCGGUGAAAUGCGUAGAUAUCGGAAGGAACACCAGUGGCGAAGGCGGUUUCCUGGGCCGUUUCUAACACUGAGAUGCGAAAGCUAGGGGAGC